UACGUAGGGUGCGAGCGUUGUCCGGAAUUAUUGGGCGUAAAGAGCUCGUAGGCGGUUUGUCACGUCUGCUGUGAAAUCCCGAGGCUCAACCUCGGGCCUGCAGUGGGUACGGGCAGACUGGAGUGCGGUAGGGGAGAAUGGAAUUCCUGGUGUAGCGGUGGAAUGCGCAGAUAUCAGGAGGAACACCGAUGGCGAAGGCAGUUCUCUGGGCCGUAACUGACGCUGAGGCACGAAAGUGUGGGGAUCAAACAGG
This 253-nucleotide ribosomal RNA is filed under the name uncultured bacterium. Its description in RNAcentral is "partial 16S ribosomal RNA". It matches the Rfam family "Bacterial small subunit ribosomal RNA", at positions 524 to 776 of the family's 1533-position model. The record is from RNAcentral.